GUGAGGAGUCGGGCUCCGGGUUAAACGUCUUUGUGCGACUUUUUGGCCGCCACAGGCCAUUACAAACGCUUUCCCUGGUGGCCAUGCGGGGAGGGGUGGGGAAGCUCCCUUCCCCCAGCAGCCCGGCCCGGCGGCGGGCACUGCGGGCUCUGAGGGAGCUGCAGGCGAGGACUCUGCCCCUGGCCGGCCUUCUCCUCGCCCAUUUACAUUCCUAGCCGGGUGCCUCCAUUCCUAGGUCGCUAUCUGCGACCUCAGGCAGGGCUCUUCUCCAGGCGCCUCUGUGAGGCCUCUUUAGGUGGGGAUGAGGGGGGACCACCAAGAUACUGCCCCCCUGACUCAGGGCCCAGUGCUCCUCCACUCCCCGCUGUCCUCCUCCACACCCACCCCUCCUCCUCCCUGUGGGGUCCCCUCAACACGUGCUCUGCUCCACCUGACCCUCCACAGGUGCGCCACUCAUGGGGGAAGAUGGAACGGGGCGUCGGUGCCUUCUCGCUUCUGUCACCGCAGACUUCCUAUAAAUGUGGUCAUACUCUACGCUUCCUUUGUGUAAGGCUCCUUUCACUCAGGGCAAUGUUUCUGAGGUUCACCUUUACUGUGGGCAGCGGCAGCUCGUUCCUUCCCGUUGCACGCAUCAGAGAGUGGAACUCUGUGUCAUCGGGUAGGCAUCGUUUAGUUCUCCAAGAAACUCCCAGACCUUUUCCCAAAACGGUUGUCCCAUUUCACGUUCCCACCAACAACGUCUGAGAUUUCCAGCUCCACAUCCUCAGAAAUCUUUAAUGCUGUCAGGUAUUUCAAUUUUAGCCGUUCUGAUGCGUGUGUAAUGGAUGUGUGCUAUAGUUUUAAUUUACACGUCCCUGAUGUUGAACAUAGUCAUGUUGAAUAUUUUUCAUUAUUGGCUAUUCAUACAUCUUCUUCAGUAAAGUGCCUGUUCCAAUCUUUUGCCUGUUUUAAAAUUUAGUUGCUAGUCUCAGCCUUAUUGAUUGGAGGCUUUUUAAAAAUAGGCGUUCUGCAAAAGGACUAUAUGCCUAUUUUAAAAAUAGGCAUAUUCUGGGCACUAGUCCUUUUUCAGAUAUAUGUUUUGCGAAUAUUUUCUCCCAGUGUGGCUUGCCUAUUUAUUUUUCUUAACGAAACCUGAUGAUGAGCAGGAGUUUUUUAUUUAAUAAAAUUUCAUUUAUCAAAUUUUAUCUUAUUCUCUGUGACCUAAGAAAUUUUUGUCGACCCCUCAAAUCCUGAAGACAUUCUCCUGUUUUCCUUCAGAAGCUUAUGGCUUUGUCUAGUAUGCUUAUCACUAUGAUUCGUCUUGAAUUCAUUUUGAGUUUUGUGUGGUAUGAAAUGGGCACUGAGGCUCAUUUUUUUCCGUAAGAACGUAUGGCGAUUCCAGAUCCAUUUGUGGAAAAGAUUUUCUUUUCUUCAUUGGAUUGCUUUGAUGCCUUUUUCAAAAUCAACUGACUGUGGAAAUACGGCUCCAUUUCGGGGCUUUCCCUUCUAUUCUGUUGGUCUGUCGGUCCUUUCGCCAGGACCACACUUUCUUGAUUAUGGUGGUUCUAUGGUCGGUAUUAAAGUAAGAUAAUGUAAGUUCUUUUUCUUCUUCAUUUUUUAGACUGCUUUGGAUAUUCUAAGUCUUUUGAAUUUUCAAAUAAAUUUUAGGAUCAGACUGUGAAUUUCCACUAAAAUCCUGCUUGGAUUACAAUUGAGAUUGUGUUCAAUUUAUAAAUUUGGGCAAACCCAGCCCGUGGCAGCCAGCCACCUAUUUUGUAAAUAAAGUUUUAUUGGAACACAGCCCUGCCUGUUCCUUUCUUUAUUGUCUGUGGCUGCUUUCACGCUACAAUGACAGAGUUAAGAGGUUGCAACAGAGACCAUAUGGCACACAAGCCUAAAAUAAUUGCUAUCCAGCCCUUUAAGAAGAAGUGUGCCAAUCCUAUGGAUCCGUGCGGGAGGAAGUUGGUGUCUUCGGGGUAGUGUGCCUUCCACAUCUUGAGCAUGGCAUUUUGCUCUGUUGAUUUAAAUAUCCCGUAAUUUCUCUCAACAAUGUUUUAUAGUUUUCAGUGUAGGUCUUGCAAGUCUCUUGUUACUUCUAAUUUCACGGUUUGGGGGAGACUAGUAUAAAUGGAAAUGUUUUAAGAUUUUAUUUCCAGUUGUUUGCUCUCAGUAUAUAAAAUACAGUUAAAUUUUGGACAGUAAUUUUGUAUCCUGUGGUUCUAGUAGCUGUAGAAUCCGUAGGAUUUUCUAUCUAAAUAAUCUUGUCAUCAACAAAGAGAGUCAGUUUUAAUUCUUCUCUCAGAUUUUUGUGCCUUUUUUCCCUUGCCUUAUUGCAGUGGCUAGGACCCCCAGUACAAUGUUAAAUAGAUUUGGUAUUACUUUGUUCCCAGUCUUACGGAACACUAUUAAACAGGAUAUUAACGGUAGGUUUUUUUUUUUUAAUAGAUGGGCUUUAUCAGAUUGAGGAAUUUCCUUAUUAUUCCUAGUUUACUAACAGUUUUUAUUGUGAAUGUGUUGAGUUUUGUCAAAUGCUUUUCCUGAAUUUACUGAAGUAUGGUUAUCCUUUAUGAUGCUAGUAUGGUGAAUUACAUUGAUUUUCAAAUGCCAAACCCAUUUUGCAUGACUGGGAUAAAUCCCACUUGCUCAUAAUGUAUUAUCCUUUUCAUCUGCUGCUAGAUUGAAUUUGCUCAUAUUUUCUUAUGGAGUUUUCCACCCAAGCGAAGACUAUUCGCUUGCAAUUUUUAAAAUGUGUUUUUUAAGUUUUGGAACCAGAGUUCUACGGACUCAAUGAAAUGACUUGGAAAGUGUUCCAUCCUCCUCUGUUUUUAAAAAUAAUUUGUUUAAGAUAUGUGUUAUUUCUUCCUUAAAUAUUUGGUAGAAUCUACCAGUAAAAUCAUCUGGGCCUAGAGUUUCUUUGUGGAAGAUUUUUUUUUUUUAAUGAAUUCAACUUCUUUAAUAGACACAAUUCUAUUUAUAUUUUCUAUUUUAUCAUCUUGUGUCAGCAUUUUACAAGGAAUUUGUCCCUUUCUUCUAACCUGUUGAAUUUGUAGCGCUGACAUUGUUCAGAAUAUUCUCUAAUUCUUCUUUUAAUGCUGUCAAUUUCUGUUGCAAUAGCCCUCUUUCAUUCCUAAUCUUACUAACUUGUGUAUUUCUGUUUUU
Molecule: non-coding RNA, 3138 nt
Organism: Equus caballus (horse)
Lineage: Eukaryota; Metazoa; Chordata; Mammalia; Perissodactyla; Equidae
Source: RefSeq, a predicted model, not a curated record